RNAcentral lists this ribosomal RNA (481 nucleotides) under uncultured bacterium. RNAcentral's name for it is "partial 16S ribosomal RNA". It matches the Rfam family "Bacterial small subunit ribosomal RNA", at positions 28 to 507 of the family's 1533-position model. The record is from RNAcentral.
GAUGAACGCUGGCGGCGUGCUUAACACAUGCAAGUCGAACGAAGCACUUUAUCUGAUUUCCUUCGGGACUGAUUAUUUUGUGACUGAGUGGCGGACGGGUGAGUAACGCGUGGGUAACCUGCCUUGUACAGGGGGAUAACAGUUGGAAACGGCUGCUAAUACCGCAUAAGCGCACGGCAUCGCAUGAUGCAGUGUGAAAAACUCCGGUGGUAUAAGAUGGACCCGCGUUGGAUUAGCUAGUUGGUGAGGUAACGGCCCACCAAGGCGACGAUCCAUAGCCGACCUGAGAGGGUGACCGGCCACAUUGGGACUGAGACACGGCCCAAACUCCUACGGGAGGCAGCAGUGGGGAAUAUUGCACAAUGGGCGAAAGCCUGAUGCAGCGACGCCGCGUGAGCGAAGAAGUAUUUCGGUAUGUAAAGCUCUAUCAGCAGGGAAGAUAAUGACGGUACCUGACUAAGAAGCACCGGCUAAAUACGUG